Long non-coding RNA from Mytilus californianus (California mussel), 403 nucleotides. RefSeq lists it as uncharacterized. The transcript has 4 exons. The record is from RefSeq and is a predicted model, not a curated record. Lineage: Eukaryota; Metazoa; Mollusca; Bivalvia; Mytilida; Mytilidae.
AGUUCCAACAUUUAUUAUUGGUGAUUUCUUGCGCUUUAAUGAACAGUCAGUUUUUCAUGCACAUUUAAAUCCUACAACAGUCAAGUCUCUAUUGAAGUUCCAACAUUUAUUAUUGGUGAUUUCUUGCGCUUUACUGAACAGUCAGUUUUUCAUACACAUUUAAAUCCUACAACAGUCAAGUUUCUAUUGAAGGAUUCACCAUCACUUUCUGCAUGCUAAUAUUGUUAAAAAGCAUUUGCACAGAGAAGCAAUCCACUUAUAAUUGAAGUGAAGUAACCUAUUCAAAGGUUGCAUAUUGGAAGAGCAAAAAAGGACACAAAUUCCAUAAAAGACUACGAAAAUAUGACCUUACACUGCAAGAAUUUGAAGAUGAUUUGAAGAGUGGAGAUCUAAAAAUAAUGAA